Molecule: ribosomal RNA, 543 nt
Filed under: uncultured bacterium
Lineage: Bacteria
Description: partial 16S ribosomal RNA
Rfam family: Bacterial small subunit ribosomal RNA
Source: RNAcentral
UGGGGAAUAUUGCACAAUGGGCGAAAGCCUGAUGCAGCAACGCCGCGUGAGUGAUGAAGGCCCUCGGGUUGUAAAGCUCUGUCUUUUGGGACGAUAAUGACGGUACCAAAGGAGGAAGCCACGGCUAACUACGUGCCAGCAGCCGCGGUAAUACGUAGGUGGCAAGCGUUGUCCGGAUUUACUGGGCGUAAAGGAUGCGUAGGCGGAUUUUUAAGUGAGAUGUGAAAACCCUAAGCUUAACUUGGGGACUGCAUUUCAUACUGGAAAUCUAGAGUGCGGGAGAGGAGAAUGGAAUUCCUAGUGUAGCGGUGAAAUGCGUAGAGAUUAGGAAGAACACCAGUGGCGAAGGCGAUUCUCUGGACCGUAACUGACGCUGAGGCAUGAAAGCGUGGGUAGCAAACAGGAUUAGAUACCCUGGUAGUCCACGCCGUAAACGAUGAGUACUAGGUGUAGGAGGUAUCGACCCCUUCUGUGCCGCAGUUAACACAAUAAGUACUCCGCCUGGGAAGUACGAUCGCAAGAUUAAAACUCAAAGGAAUUGAC